AGGCCAAAAAAUCAAACUUAAAAAAUAUAUAUGGUCACUCUUUUGUUCUUUGAGUGUUAAAUUCAUCAGUGUUUCCAUUUAAAACCAAUAACAAUUUGGGGAGGUAGUUCUUGGGAACUCUGAUUGUACCAAUAAGAGAAAAAAUGCUGAAACAAUGGUUGAAAAGAUCCCAUUUCAUGUCUCUGUUCUGUUACAGAGACCCACACUGUGGAAGAUACUUACAAGACUGGGUUAUAUUUCUGGAAGAGCAAAUUCAUCUCUUGUCUCUCCAGAAGACUGACUUAUUCCCCCACAUUUAUCCCAGACAAGAAAAUGACUCAGUAUUUCAUUCAAGCUAAAUUUGAGCAGAACUAAGUUCCUUUUCAGGAACCCUCCCCAGCUUCUCUGAUGAGCACUUGUCAUGUUUGGAGAAACUGCCCACCUGAAGCAAAUAAAAACUUACAACACUGGACAUCUUUGAUGCAGCCCCAGAUAAAUGUUGUGCUGGGAUUUCUUGGAGAGCAGGUAUCCUGGGAGUAUACAGCAGCCUUGUCUCCAAGGAAAGACAUGCAGGAAGCACUGAGAGGUUAGUUGUUAAGGGUCUGGGCUCAGAUUUAGGCUCCUCCAGCUCAGAGAUGACAGAGCCGUGUGACCUUGGACAUGUUACUCUCCCUCUCCAUGCCUUGGUUUUCUCCUCUGCACAGUAGAGGAAGGAACAGACGCUGGCUCACAGAGCCAUGGAGAUGUUUAAGUGAGGUACUGCUCGUGAACCGCCCCCGGGCUUGGCCUCAAGAAGCUGUAACUGCUGUGACCUUUUAGGUCAGACCGAUCAAUGCUUUGGGACAGUGAGACCGUCACUCUCCGGCUUAGUGGUAACAUGAAUUUAUACUACACGUUUUGGCUGUUGCAUGAGUUCUUUCUCUCUGCAAUAAUGUGGAGUGUCUAUCAGUUAGUAGGCAUUCCGGUGCAAGGAUGAAGGAUGGCUUAGAUGAUAAAACAUAAGCGUCAUAUCGGAAUUUUAAAAGCCAGUAAAUAGGUGCUUCUGGGGUUGGCUUGGCACCAAAAUCGUGCCAUCCUUACCCAGGUCCUUUCUGUCUUUCUGCUCUGCUGUUCUCAACUAUUCUCCCCUGGAUUAUCACCUCAUGGUCCCAAGGUGGCUACUGCACCACCAGCCACCUCAACUAUUUUCAAUGGCAGGAAGUGGAGCAGGGCUGGGAUAGCAAAAAAGGACCUAUUUGCAUGAGCCCCCACAUGGCUUCCUUUCCUUUAUACAGGAAGAAAGUUCUUCCCUGAAAGCCACUGCUGACUCCCCCUUGAGUUAUUGACCAGAACAGGGUCACUAGGCACCCUGGCUGCGAGGAAGCCUGAGAAUGCACGUAUCUGGCUCACCCCAUCUUUGCAGCUGGAGAAAGGUGUUGACCGGGGCUUUGGUGUUGGUAACCAACAGUUUCUGCCCCAGGGUGUUGGACCAUAAUGAAAAACUGGGGCUCUCUAGCCCCACGCAUGGAAUGAACUGAGAGUUGGGAGAAGUGAGGCACGACCAGGCGUCCUGAUUUCCCCACCAGGGUCUGGCCUUCCUGCCAACUUCAGACACAAGUCUGAGCAAGCACCUCCCCUCUCAGCCUCCCCUGCACAAUGAGAGGCUUAGAGCAACCUCCUAAAGAAACAACAAAAGGGCCAGGUCACUGCUAUUUUUAACAACAUAAGAAAACAGAAUUAAGGUUGUUGGGGAGUGAAUUAUUGAUUUAUCACAUUAAUUACUGAAAGAGUGAGUGUGGGAAGACUUUCAAGAAGGAGGGAUUCACUGGGAGCUGGGUGGG
Molecule: long non-coding RNA, 1799 nt
Filed under: Homo sapiens (human)
Lineage: Eukaryota; Metazoa; Chordata; Mammalia; Primates; Hominidae
Description: HSALNT0387683
Source: RNAcentral